This 200-nucleotide ribosomal RNA is filed under the name uncultured bacterium. RNAcentral's name for it is "partial 16S ribosomal RNA". It matches the Rfam family "Bacterial small subunit ribosomal RNA", at positions 8 to 225 of the family's 1533-position model. The record is from RNAcentral.
AGAGUUUGAUCCUGGCUCAGGACAAACGCUGGCGGCGUGCGUAACACAUGCAAGUCGAGCGGGCUGCUUUCGGGCAGUCAGCGGCGGACGGGUGAGUAACACGUGAGUGACCAACCCUCCAGUGGGGGAUACCCCGCGGAAACGCGGGAUAAUCCCGCAUACGCUUCUUUCGAGAAGGAAAGCGGCAACGCGCUGGUGGA